Molecule: ribosomal RNA, 208 nt
Filed under: uncultured bacterium
Lineage: Bacteria
Description: partial 16S ribosomal RNA
Rfam family: Bacterial small subunit ribosomal RNA
Source: RNAcentral
UAUGUAGGUGUCCUAUUAAGUCCUUUUUGAAAUACUUUGGCUUAACCAAAGAAAACGGAAGGGAAACUGAUGGGAUUGAGUACAGGAGAGGAGAGCGGAAUUCCCGGUGUAAGGGUGAAAUCUGUAGAUAUCGGGAAGAACACCAGUGGCGAAAGCGGCUCUCUGGCCUGAUACUGACACUGAGAUACGAAAGCAAGGGGAUCAAACA